RNAcentral lists this ribosomal RNA (461 nucleotides) under uncultured bacterium. RNAcentral describes it as "partial 16S ribosomal RNA". It matches the Rfam family "Bacterial small subunit ribosomal RNA", at positions 338 to 795 of the family's 1533-position model. The record is from RNAcentral.
CCUACGGGGGGCAGCAGUGAGGAAUAUUGGUCAAUGGGCUUACGCCUGAACCAGCCAAGUCGCGUGAGGGAAGACUGCUCUAUGGGUUGUAAACCUCUUUUGUCAGGGAGCAACGCCGGCUACGUGUAGCCGGACUGAGAGUACCUGAAGUAAAAGCAUCGGCUAACGUCGUGACAGCAGCCGCGGUAAUACGGAGGGUGCGAGCGUUAUCCGGAGUUAGUGGGUGUAAAGGAAGCGUAGACGGUAGUGCAAGUCCGGCGUGAAACCCCGGGGCUCAACCCUGGGACUGCGCUUGAAACGGUAAAGCUGGAGUGCGGGAGGGGCAGGCGGAAUUCCUGGUGUAGCGGUAAAAUGCGUAGAGAUCAGGAGGAACACCGGCGGCGAAGGCGGCCUGCUGGACCGUAACUGACGUUGAGGCUCGAAAGCGUGGGGAGCAAACAGGAUUAGAUACCCCAGUAGUC